Cyanistes caeruleus (blue tit) is the source of this 599-nucleotide long non-coding RNA. The record is from Ensembl. Lineage: Eukaryota; Metazoa; Chordata; Aves; Passeriformes; Paridae.
GGAGCACUGGGGACACACUGGGAGCACUGGGGACACACUGGGGGGCACUGGGGACACACUGGGGACACACUGGGGGGCACUGGGGACACACUGGGGGGCACUGGGGACACACUGGGAGCACUGGGGACACACUGGGGGGCACUGGGGUGUCACAGCGGGGCUGGGGUCCCUCGUGCUGCUGCUCCAAAGCCUCAGGGAGCGACUGGGACGUUCUGGGGUCACUGGGAUGUUCUGGGGGUCUCUGGGGGUCACUGGGAUGUUCUGGGGGGGUCACUGGGAUGUUCUGGGGGUCUCUGGGGGUCUCUGGGGGUCACUGGGAUGUUCUGGGGGUCUCUGGGGGUCUCUGGGGGUCUCUGGGAGCGCCCCCAUUCCCUCUCUCCCCUCAGCGCCGGGGGAAGCCUGUGGGGAACCCCUGCCCCAUCUGCCGGGACCGGAACCUGCUCGUGGAUUUUCGGAACGUGAAGCUGCUGGACCAGUUCAUCUGUCCCCACUCAGGAGUCAUCUUCCACCCCAUCCACACAGGGAUCUGCCUGAAGCAGCACAAGCGCCUGUCCCAGGCCAUCGCCCAGGCCCAGGACCGCGGUGAGCCCCAAGCCCGG